Molecule: long non-coding RNA, 2144 nt
Filed under: Apis dorsata (giant honeybee)
Lineage: Eukaryota; Metazoa; Arthropoda; Insecta; Hymenoptera; Apidae
Description: uncharacterized LOC116185689
Source: RNAcentral
AAAUUUAUAUUUCUAAAAGAAUCAUUUACAUUUAAGGAUCGAAUAUCAAAGUAUAUAUUGAAUGAAUAAAUAUAUUUUAAGAAUAAUCAAAGUCGCGCGCAUCGAUUUAAAUAUGCAUCGUGUUUCUAUGCACGAAACAAGUGGCUGCCGGUAGAAAACCGGCUCAGUACCAAGUGGUUGCUACGGCGCAUUCUACCGCGCCGGUGUAUUGGCGCGGCGCUGCGAUCGAGACGCCAGUACACCGCGCGCCGUCGACUCGUUUACAUGUUGGUUUUGUUACGUGCGCUUAUCAUUCGUUAUCAACGUGUUCCUCUUCACUUUUCUGCGCAUCCCUCCACGCGCAUUUUGUUUACCAGUCAUCCUAAAAAUCCUCGAUGCGGUAUGUCACUUUUUAUCCAAUAUUUUUUACUAUUUUUCGUAAACGUCCGCCGACGCACGAAUCAAACGGUACCGGCUCACGGUAAACCGGGAUUAAAAAAUUUUUUCCCCUAUAUUUUAAACUCGAAUCGAAUGGUGAUCGAAUCUUGACAACGACGCGUCCUUUUCGAACGAGUAAAACGAAUUCUUUUUCCCCUCUUUUUCGUUCGAUUUGUUUGAUUGUUAGUAGAGAUAUCGUUGAAAUGUUUAUAUAUGUGAUUCGAAACGAUAUUUCGCAGUUACGUGUCGCGUAUCGAUUUAUCAUCGCGCCUCGUUGCGUGUGUUUCGAAAUAACCUUUUAUAUUUAUUCUCUAGCGUUGUUCCCUUUCACGUAAAAAUCGUAUUGCUUUUUUCCUGCUUAAAUUACACCAUCCGACGCUUCGUUUCGACUCUGAUAUUGCAUAAUUAAUGAAUCAAUCGAUAGUUACUAGGUCGUUUGUAUAAACGUUGGUAGAUAUAUAUUAUAUCAAACAUAUAUUCCUUAAAUUCGUUGCCAUUGCCAAUAUCGAUCGAUUCAUUUCGUCAUACGUAAUUUUCCUACACGAGAGUGAAACGAAAAACGCGUUUCGUUAGUUUACUUCGUUUAUUUACGUCGUCGAAGAAUCGUAAAAUUCGAAGAAUCGUAGUUAACGAAAGAAAUUCGGUAGUAGGAAGUAAAUAUAAAUACGAUUACUAAUCGACUCGACUUUGUUUUCGUGAGAAAGAGAGUCAAUUUCGCGUUACGUAGAAUGAUGUCCAAGAUCGACUAUCCUUGAACAAUCAAAAAUAUAUUCGCAAGUCCAUCGAGAGUAGGAGUAGGUCGAUUCUCGUGGACCUGCAUUCGUAAACCUGUUCACCUUGUGUCCUCGCUCUCGGAUUAAACGCAUUCGUGGCUCGUCUUUCGUAUCUUCCGCUUAUUGUUAACUAACGAUUCUUUGAACGUUACUCAUAUUGCGUAGCGGAAAUAAAAAUCAACAAAGAAAGUGUCCACAGAUAAUCUUCUAUUCCUUGCUCCUUCGACAUUCUUCCAAGUACAUGAAUCAUCCAUAACUAUAGAUAAUUUAAUUCUCGUAUCAUUUCAUUUUUAAAUGAAAUGAUAAUUCUUUGGUUUGAUAUCGAAUCAAAUGAUAUCGAAUCAAAUGAUUAUUAUUCGAGUCUCAAAUUUUUUCGUUUAUUUUUAUAUAAAUUUUGAAUUGAAAUUCGAAUUUAGAUCUUUCGAAAACGAUGCUUUCCUUUUUAAUUAAACGAAUUCGUUUCAAUGGUACUUGAAUAUUCCAAAAUUCUAAAAAAUAUUUCAAAUUCUACGAUUGUCUCGAGAAAUUUUGAAAUUCCUCUUUAGAAAUUCCAUCGUAUUAAUUGGAAGUUUAAUCAUUUUCGACCGGUAUUGUCUAACGAUCGAUUUGCGGUUCAUUCGGCUCUUCUUGGUUAACGUCGACCUCGGUUUUCCGUAUUGACCGUUCCAUCACAUCGUGAACAUCAGAAAUCUUUUUGGUCCCAGCAAUUCCAUUAGCUUGAAACAGACGAGAAACGGUAAAAACAAUCGGGAAAUAUCGAACAUUUUUUUGUGUAUUAAAGCACUUGCAAGAUCAUGUUCUCAUCUUUACCGUUUUAUUCCUCUUCGAAAAUAUAUUGAAGUUAUAAAAUCAAUUAUUAUAUAAAAGAAGUUUAAUUAUCUUUAAGUUUUUUAUGGGGGUAUCAUAAAAUUUCAUAAAGAUUUCGUAGGCAAAUUUUGUUCUUUUUUUAAUAAA